RNAcentral lists this ribosomal RNA (425 nucleotides) under Scylla serrata (giant mud crab). Its description in RNAcentral is "SSU rRNA". It matches the Rfam family "Eukaryotic small subunit ribosomal RNA", at positions 56 to 465 of the family's 1831-position model. The record is from RNAcentral. Lineage: Eukaryota; Metazoa; Arthropoda; Malacostraca; Decapoda; Portunidae.
UGUCUAAGUACAAGCCGAAUUAAGGUGAAACCGCGAAUGGCUCAUUCCAUCAGCUAUGAUUCAUUGGAUCUGUAGCCCACACUUACUUGGAUAACUGUGGUAAUUCUAGAGCUAAUACAUGCACCACGUCUCUGACCGCAAGGGAAGAGCGCUUUUAUUAGUUCAAAACCGGUCGGGCCUCGGUCCGCCAACCCCACCGUGUUGAAUCUGAAUAACUUGUGGCUGAGCGCACGGCCUCCAGUGCCGGCGCCGCCUCUUUCAAGUGUCUGCCUUAUCAGCUUUCGAUUGUAGGCUAUGCGCCUACAAUGGCUAUAACGGGUAACGGGGAAUCAGGGUUCGAUUCCGGAGAGGGAGCCUGAGAAACGGCUACCACAUCUAAGGAAGGCAGCAGGCACGCAAAUUACCCACUCCCGGCACGGGGAGGU